This 469-nucleotide ribosomal RNA is filed under the name Stramenopiles sp. RNAcentral's name for it is "SSU rRNA". It matches the Rfam family "Eukaryotic small subunit ribosomal RNA", at positions 460 to 931 of the family's 1831-position model. The record is from RNAcentral.
GGAGGUAGUGACAAUAAAUCACAAUGCCGGGCUUUUAUAAGUCUGGCAAUUGGAAUGAGAACAAUUUAAAUCCCUUAUCGAGGAUCAAUUGGAGGGCAAGUCUGGUGCCAGCAGCCGCGGUAAUUCCAGCUCCAAUAGCGUAUACUAAAGUUGUUGCAGUUAAAAAGCUCGUAGUUGAAUUUCUGGUCUCGGACAUCGGUCUGCCUCGAACGAGGUACGUACCAGUUGUCUGAAUCCAUCCUCGGGGAAAACAUGUCUGUCAUUCAGUUGAUGGGCAUGGGAUCCUCGUCAUUUACUGUGAGCAAAAUAGAGUGUUCAAAGCAGGCUUAUGCCGUUGAAUACAUUAGCAUGGAAUAAUAAGAUAGGACCUUGGUCUAUUUUGUUGGUUUGUACUCCAAGGUAAUGAUUAAUAGGGAUAGUUGGGGGUAUUCGUAUUCAAUUGUCAGAGGUGAAAUUCUUGGAUUUAUGG